This 667-nucleotide ribosomal RNA is filed under the name uncultured fungus. RNAcentral describes it as "eukaryotic LSU rRNA". It matches the Rfam family "Eukaryotic large subunit ribosomal RNA", at positions 24 to 664 of the family's 3401-position model. The record is from RNAcentral. Lineage: Eukaryota; Fungi.
CCCGCUGAACUUAAGCAUAUCAAUAAGCGGAGGAAAAGAAACUAACAAGGAUUCCCCUAGUAACUGCGAGUGAAGCGGGAAAAGCUCAAAUUUAAAAUCUGGCGGUCUUUCGGCCGUCCGAGUUGUAAUCUGGAGAAGCGUUUAUCCGCGUUGGACCGUGUACAAGUCUUCUGGAAGGGAGCGUCAUAGAGGGAGAGAAUCCCGUCUUUGACACGGACUACCAAUGCUUUUGUGACGCGCUCUCGAAGAGUCGAGUUGUUUGGGAAUGCAGCUCAAAAUGGGUGGAAAAUUCCAUCUAAAGCUAAAUAUUGGCGAGAGACCGAUAGCGAACAAGUACCGUGAGGGAAAGAUGAAAAGCACUUUGGAAAGAGAGUUAAACAGUACGUGAAAUUGUUGAAAGGGAAACGUUUGAAGUCAGUCGCGUUGGCCGAGACUCAGCCUUGCUUCCGCUCGGUGCACUUCUCGGUUGACGGGUCAGCAUCAAUUUCGACCGCCGGAUAAAGGUUGAGGGAACGUGACAUCUUUCGAGGUGUGUUAUAGCCCUCGAUUCGCAUACGGCGAUUGGGAUUGAGGAACUCAGCGCGCCUUUAUGGUCGGGGUAGCAACCCACGGAACGCGCUCAGGAUGCUUGGCAUAAUGGCUUUAAGCGACCCGUCUUUGAACACGG